RNAcentral lists this unclassified non-coding RNA (376 nucleotides) under soil metagenome. RNAcentral describes it as "partial contains 5.8S ribosomal RNA, internal transcribed spacer 2, and large subunit ribosomal RNA". The stretch from base 1 to 120 matches the Rfam family "5.8S ribosomal RNA", at positions 35 to 154 of the family's 154-position model. The record is from RNAcentral.
GAUGAAGAACGCAGCGAAAUGCGAUAAGUAAUGUGAAUUGCAGAAUUCAGUGAAUCAUCGAAUCUUUGAACGCAUCUUGCGCUCCUUGGUAUUCUGAGGAGCAUGCCUGUUUGAGUGUCAUUAAAUUCUCAACUACACUGACUUUGAAUUGGUGUGGCUUGGAUUUGGGGGGAAAAUUGUUGUGGGCUUUUUGUAUAGUCUGCUCCCCUGAAAUUGAUUAGCGGUACCUUUGUGGAACUGUCUACAGGUGUGAUAAUUAUCUACAUCUUAGACAUCUGCUGGAAUGCUGCUUUCUAAACCUCACUUGUAUUGACAAUCUUGACCUCAAAUCAGGUAGGACUACCCGCUGAACUUAAGCAUAUCAAUAAGCGGAGGA